UGAAAAGUGAUGGAAUUUUGGAUUGAGUAAUCUGAGAACACUGUCAUGUAAACUCAUUUAACAGAGAUGACCUGAAAUCUUGGACUCUGAAGGACAGUAGUACAUGCAAACCACAAUUUUGGAUCUAAUGUGAAGGUUUUGUAUGGAGCUGGUGAGUACAUUUUUGCAAGACCAUGUCUCUGUUAGUAAGUCAAUAGUAUUGUUUUAUUAAACAAAUUCAUAUUAAUUUGUGUGUGUGUGUGUGUGUGUUUGUGUAUGUGCUUUCCCCUCAUGAUCCAGAAGUUUUAGGAAUGAAAAUCUUCUGCUACAUGAUCCUCAGAGGAAAUACACCAAGGAUCCAGCUGAUUACUGGCAUUUUGGAUGAGGACUGCUUUUUAUCUGCCGUGUCUGUCACUUCUGGUCUUUGUUAUGCUGCAGAUAAGUGGAUGCUUAUCAUUGUUGCGGUUGGAGGAGCAUAAUUCGGAGCUCUGACGCAUGAUACUUAACGCAAUACUCUCUCACCCAUUGAAAGUGAGUCGAGGGCUGUGGCUUCUCCCACAAAUAUUUCUCUAUUGUGAUUGACAGUGUGAAGCCAUCCUCAACAAUGUUUGCUGUUGUUUAACACUAAGGUUCCCG
Molecule: long non-coding RNA, 615 nt
Organism: Cyprinus carpio carpio
Lineage: Eukaryota; Metazoa; Chordata; Actinopteri; Cypriniformes; Cyprinidae
Source: Ensembl